GGAUGUGAGGGCAAUCUGGCUGCAACAUCUGUCACCCCAUUGAUCACCAGGGUUGAUUUGGCUGAUCUUGCUGGCUAGGCAGUUGUCCCCUUUCUCCCUCACCACUCUAUGUGCAUCCCUCCUGAAGCUGCACACUUGGUCGAAGAGGACAGCCUUCCCCAAAUAGAGACGGGCCGGUCUUUGGUCGAGGGUAUACGAGUAGCUGUGCUCCCCUGCUAGAACAUUCAAACAAGCUCUCAAAAAAUAGAGACACCUUCAGCAUCACCACCAUUGCUUGUAAAGUUUCCCUGCCCCACAGGUGGGGACCAUGU
Molecule: unclassified non-coding RNA, 311 nt
Organism: Erinaceus europaeus (western European hedgehog)
Lineage: Eukaryota; Metazoa; Chordata; Mammalia; Eulipotyphla; Erinaceidae
Gene: 7SK
Rfam family: 7SK RNA
About the family: 7SK was discovered as an abundant small nuclear RNA in the mid-70s but a possible function has only recently been suggested. Two independent studies have found that 7SK RNA binds the CDK9/cyclin T complex (known as elongation factor P-TEFb).
Source: Ensembl